Long non-coding RNA from Pseudopipra pipra, 1757 nucleotides. RefSeq lists it as uncharacterized. The transcript is spliced from 2 exons. The record is from RefSeq and is a predicted model, not a curated record. NCBI's taxonomy places the organism in Eukaryota, Metazoa, Chordata, Aves, Passeriformes, Pipridae.
CGUCGGGACAGCUCUGAAAUGAGGGUCAUUUAUUCUCAGCUCUGAGAACUGAAUUCCAUGGGUUGUAAUUGAAUCUGCUGUCAGACCCAUGGGGCUCAGUUCUGCAGCUUGGAUAUUUCUGUCUUCACACACACGGGAGAGCAAAGAAGCACUUGAUCAUUCCCUGACUCCUCUGGAUGGUGAGAGCAGCAAGUGGGAGAGGAGGAGCCACUGAUGUGAAUCAUCUGAACAGGGCGGGCUCAUUGCAAAGCCUGGCUCUCGUGUUAAACAGCUGAAUGUUAAAUAGCUGUGUGUUAAAUAGCUGUAUGGUGACUGAAUCCUUGCUGAGCUGAUGGGCUCGUGCUGCCUCUCACUGCCUAAUUAGCUUUGUUCUUUCCUCUCGUUGUUACCAAGGUCACACAGAAAUCCCUGCUAUCUGCUGACUGAAGGAUGGUCCCCCAAUAUUGCCAAGUGCUGCAGAGCUCCCAGGGACAGCUGGGGAAGCUGCUCUGCACCAGGGCAGCCCCAGAGCUCCCCGGGCUGAACACCAAGUGUGCCAGCUGAUAACCUGCUGUAACCUGCCCUCAGUGCCACUGCUGUGCAGUUAUGGUUUCUUUUGAUUUGUCUGAUACCAAAUACCCAUUUUCAAGGAGUGUCAUGACUGUGCAGAAUGUGCCUUUGCACCAGCCACCAGCCCCCUCAUAUGAACACAGCUUUUCCUUCCUGGGCAUGGUAAUGUGCUCCCCAAGGGUUUGGAGUAGGGAGUCUCCAGUCUAACCAGGGAUGUGUGCUGUUUGAAGGCUCAGUAGCAGGAGCAUCCCCUUACAGGGGGAUUCAUUCAAGUCACAGGUUAAUGCCUUUUUUCUUGGAGGACCUAUGUUAACAUUUUUCAUUCAGGGAUCAGGGAAAUAAUUGUGGUCUUUAAGCAUGUAAAGAGUUAUGAUUACCAAUGAGCUUUCCACUGCUUUCCUGCAAUAAUCACAUCUUCCUAAAUUACAUUUUUCCAACUCAGUAAAGUAGAUCAUGCACUGAUCUUACCUCUGUGGUACAAUGCUCUUAAAAGCAUAGAAAUACCAAAAUCUCACAGGUGCAGGAACAGCAUGCUCAGCUGAGUAGCUUAAAAUGUCAUGUGCCUUUCAUUCUGAAUAUGUAUUUACACUAAAAAUAAUCAGAUAUAAUCACUGUUGCCUGUGGAUACAGGUGUACCUUCAUACUAAUGUAAUUUUCAUAUAAACUCGUGUUCUAAGGGUUGAAGAGUUUCUUUGUGGCUGUCUGAGAUGUAUUGUGCCCACCAGUCUAGAAAUUACAGUUCUUGGAAGAGCUCACCAGUUCCAGCAGCUCCUGCUGUGGGAAUAUCCAUUAAACAGAAUGGAGAAACACACAAAGCAAAGGAUGACAUUGAAAUUUGAUUUUUUAUUUUCCUCAAUCAUCCCUGUCAGAAGGAGGACAUGAAGUCUGAGGUCAGAGUUAGCAAUAUCUGCAAAAGGAGAGAGAGAGAUGGAAUCUUUUCCAAUAUGCAGGCAGCCUGGUGGAUGUUAGGUAUCUGAGGGUGCAGAACGUCCUGCAGAGCCUCCCCUGAGCAGCCCAGGCUGUGGCAGUGGGUGAGUGCAGGGGGUGAGCACACGAGGCCACAGAGGAGAUGGAGAUGUCGUUGGAGUGGAGUCUUUGCAGUCCCAUCUCCUGAGGGAACCAACAAUGCUCUCACAUCCUCAGGGAAGAGAAAAACAAAACCGUGCAAGUGCUCUGAACUUCUGCUGAAUAAACCCGGCUCAUAUAAA